GGGUCGUUAGCUCAAUUGGUUUAGUAGCACUUGACUUUUAAUCAAUAGGUUCCGAGUUCGAGUCUCGGACGACCCACCA
Molecule: transfer RNA, 79 nt
Filed under: Serratia phage Slocum
Lineage: Duplodnaviria; Heunggongvirae; Uroviricota; Caudoviricetes; Demerecviridae
Description: tRNA-Lys
Rfam family: tRNA
About the family: Transfer RNA (tRNA) molecules are approximately 80 nucleotides in length. Their secondary structure includes four short double-helical elements and three loops (D, anti-codon, and T loops).
Source: RNAcentral